Molecule: long non-coding RNA, 528 nt
Filed under: Homo sapiens (human)
Lineage: Eukaryota; Metazoa; Chordata; Mammalia; Primates; Hominidae
Description: non-protein coding lnc-TM6SF2-1:1
Source: RNAcentral
CUUGGAGGCUCCCUGGGAACACGCAGGGCGGUCACGGCGGCCUGCCCAGGGCGCAGCGGGGUCGACCUUUGUGCGGGGCGGGUCCCUGGCAGCCUCGGCCCGGACUCGCCGCCAACGAGGAGCCGAGCGCCCUGGAGAACGCGUCGGGGCUGAGCCGGGGUCCAGCAGCCGCCGCUAUGGACAUCCCGCCGCUGGCCGGCAAGAUCGCGGCGCUGUCGCUGAGCGCCCUCCCGGUGUCCUACGCGCUCAACCACGUCUCGGCGCUCUCGCAGGAGAGCCAUACCUGCGCACAGCGCACGGAGUCUUCAUCUGCUACUGGGAUGGCACUGUUCACUACCUCCUCUACCUGGCCAUGGCCGGCGCCAUCUGCAGAAGGAAGAGAUACCGGAAUUUUGGACUCUACUGGCUGGGUUCCUUCGCCAUGAGCAUCCUGGUGUUCCUUACAGGAAACAUUCUUGGCAAAUACAGCUCCGAGAUCAGGCCUGCCUUCUUCCUCACCAUCCCCUACCUGCUGGUGCCAUGCUGGGC